This 435-nucleotide ribosomal RNA is filed under the name Starmerella bombicola. RNAcentral describes it as "eukaryotic LSU rRNA". The stretch from base 140 to 292 matches the Rfam family "5.8S ribosomal RNA". The record is from RNAcentral. Lineage: Eukaryota; Fungi; Ascomycota; Dipodascomycetes; Dipodascales; Trichomonascaceae.
UGUGAACCUGCGGAAGGAUCAUUUCUGAAGGCUACACGCCAACAUUGUGAAACGCACUUUCGGGUGCAUUGAAGGAGUGCUUUCGGGCACGCUUUUCUUUUAACUUUUAUUUUUAUAUCUGACAACCAAGAAAAUUUAAAACUUUCAACAACGGAUCUCUUGGUUCUCGCAUCGAUGAAGAACGCAGCAAAGCGCGAUAGGUAAUGCGAAUUGCAGACGUGAGUCAUUGAAUCUUUGAACGCACAUUGCGCUACUGGGCUAUAUGCUCAGUAGCAUGCUUGUUGGAGCGCCGAUCUUUCUCCUCUACCUGUUUCGACAGGCCUGAGGGUUCUGCUCCCGCCGGGAGUGAAAGACAUGGAAGUGCACACGUUAGAUAACUCUGUGCAGUUACACUUUUAUUUUUUGGCCCCCAAUCAAGCAAGGCUACCCGCUGAA